This 1027-nucleotide ribosomal RNA is filed under the name Bloxamia discedens. RNAcentral describes it as "SSU rRNA". It matches the Rfam family "Eukaryotic small subunit ribosomal RNA", at positions 69 to 1105 of the family's 1831-position model. Lineage: Eukaryota; Fungi; Ascomycota; Leotiomycetes; Helotiales; Bloxamiaceae. The record is from RNAcentral.
GCAUCUAAACCGUGAAACUGCGAAUGGCUCAUUAAAUCAGUUAUCGUUUAUUUGAUAGUCCCUUACUACUUGGAUAACCGUGGUAAUUCUAGAGCUAAUACAUGCUAAAAACCCCGACUUCCGAAGGGGUGUAUUUAUUAGAUAAAAAACCAAUGCCCUUCGGGGCUUCUUGGUGAAUCAUAAUAACUUAACGAAUCGCAUGGCCUUGUGCCGGCGAUGGUUCAUUCAAAUUUCUGCCCUAUCAACUUUCGAUGUUAAUGUAUUGGAUUAACAUGGUUUCAACGGGUAACGGGGAAUUAGGGUUCUAUUCCGGAGAGGGAGCCUGAGAAACGGCUACCACAUCCAAGGAAGGCAGCAGGCGCGCAAAUUACCCAAUCCCGACUCGGGGAGGUAGUGACAAUAAAUACUGAUACAGGGCUCUUUUGGGUCUUGUAAUUGGAAUGAGUACAAUUUAAAUCCCUUAACGAGGAACAAUUGGAGGGCAAGUCUGGUGCCAGCAGCCGCGGUAAUUCCAGCUCCAAUAGCGUAUAUUAAAGUUGUUGCAGUUAAAAAGCUCGUAGUUGAACCUUGGGCCUGGCUGGCCGGUCCGCCUCACCGCGUGCACUGGUCCGGCCGGGCCUUUCCUCCUGGGGAGCCGCAUGCCCUUCACUGGGUGUGUCGGGGAUCCAGGACUUUUACUUUGAAAAAAUUAGAGUGUUCAAAGCAGGCAUUUGCUCGGAUACAUUAGCAUGGAAUAAUGAAAUAGGACGUGUGGUCUUAUUUUGUUGGUUUCUAAGACCGCCGUAAUGAUUAAUAGGGAUAGUCGGGGGCAUCAGUAUUCGAUUGUCAGAGGUGAAAUUCUUGGAUUUAUUGAAGACUAACUACUGCGAAAGCAUUUGCCAAGGAUGUUUUCAUUAAUCAGUGAACGAAAGUUAGGGGAUCGAAGACGAUCAGAUACCGUCGUAGUCUUAACCAUAAACUAUGCCGACUAGGGAUCGGGCGAUGUUAUCUUUUUGACUCGCUCGGCACCUUACGAGAAAUCAAAGUC